This 1245-nucleotide ribosomal RNA is filed under the name Corynebacterium sp. P147607UB03. RNAcentral describes it as "bacterial SSU rRNA". It matches the Rfam family "Bacterial small subunit ribosomal RNA", at positions 38 to 1289 of the family's 1533-position model. Lineage: Bacteria; Bacillati; Actinomycetota; Actinomycetes; Mycobacteriales; Corynebacteriaceae. The record is from RNAcentral.
GGCGGGGGGCUACCAUGCAGUCGACGGUAGGCCCCAGCUUGCUGGGGUACACGAGUGGCGAACGGGUGAGUAACACGUGGGUGACCUGCCCCGCACUUCGGGAUAAGCCUGGGAAACUGGGUCUAAUACCGGAUAGGACCGCACCGUGAGGGUGUGGUGGAAAGUUUUUCGGUGUGGGAUGGGCCCGCGGCCUAUCAGCUUGUUGGUGGGGUAAUGGCCUACCAAGGCGGCGACGGGUAGCCGGCCUGAGAGGGUGGACGGCCACAUUGGGACUGAGACACGGCCCAGACUCCUACGGGAGGCAGCAGUGGGGAAUAUUGCACAAUGGGCGGAAGCCUGAUGCAGCGACGCCGCGUGGGGGAUGACGGCCUUCGGGUUGUAAACUCCUUUCACCAUCGACGAAGGUUUUCUGACGGUAGAUGGAGAAGAAGCACCGGCUAACUACGUGCCAGCAGCCGCGGUAAUACGUAGGGUGCGAGCGUUGUCCGGAAUUACUGGGCGUAAAGAGCUCGUAGGUGGUUUGUCGCGUCGUCUGUGAAAUUCCGGGGCUUAACUCCGGGCGUGCAGGCGAUACGGGCAUAACUUGAGUACUGUAGGGGAGACUGGAAUUCCUGGUGUAGCGGUGAAAUGCGCAGAUAUCAGGAGGAACACCGGUGGCGAAGGCGGGUCUCUGGGCAGUAACUGACGCUGAGGAGCGAAAGCAUGGGUAGCGAACAGGAUUAGAUACCCUGGUAGUCCAUGCCGUAAACGGUGGGCGCUAGGUGUAGGGGUCUUCCACGACUUCUGUGCCGUAGCUAACGCAUUAAGCGCCCCGCCUGGGGAGUACGGCCGCAAGGCUAAAACUCAAAGGAAUUGACGGGGGCCCGCACAAGCGGCGGAGCAUGUGGAUUAAUUCGAUGCAACGCGAAGAACCUUACCUGGGCUUGACAUAUACGGGACCGGGCCAGAGAUGGUCCUUCCCUUGUGGCUCGUAUACAGGUGGUGCAUGGUUGUCGUCAGCUCGUGUCGUGAGAUGUUGGGUUAAGUCCCGCAACGAGCGCAACCCUUGUCUUAUGUUGCCAGCACGUAAUGGUGGGGGACUCGUGAAGAAACUGCCGGGGUCAACUCGGAAGGAAGGUGGGGGAUGACGUCAAAUCAUCAUGGCCCUUAAUGUCCAGGGCUUCCAACAUGGCUACAAUGGGUCGGUACAGUGGGGUUGCCAAUGCCCGUGAAGUGGGAAGUUAAUCCCUUGAAAGCCCGGUCUUC